RNAcentral lists this ribosomal RNA (366 nucleotides) under Triticum aestivum (bread wheat). Its description in RNAcentral is "partial small subunit ribosomal RNA". Lineage: Eukaryota; Viridiplantae; Streptophyta; Magnoliopsida; Poales; Poaceae. The record is from RNAcentral.
AUGCCUACGAAUGUAGGGCAGUCCAAGAUGGGCACAUUUAAAUACCUUAGAGAUCGAGUCCGGGAGAAAGUCAAGGGAUGGAUGGAGAAACUCUUAUCCUCUGUUGGUAAAGAGAUAUUGAUCAAGGCCGUUGUCCAAGCUCUGCCAGUGUUUUCCAUGGCUUGUUUCAGGUUAACCCAAGGUCUCCGUGAGAACAUCACAUCCAUCAUCCGCCAAUUCUGGUGGGGAAGUAAAGUGGGAAAAUGGAAGCCGAGUUGGAUUGCAUGGGAUAUCAUGGUGAGACGAAAGCAUCUUGGGGGUCUUGGCUUCCGUGACAUGGAGAUCUUCAAUUUAGCUUUACUAGCAAGACAGGCUGGAGAGUGCUGA